GUCACGAUCCAAACGACUCGUAAACUUGUUAAUUAUCUUCACCUUCAAAUACAUGUAACUUGAGGUGGGCUAGAUCCGACUAAUCCGAGUCGAUCGAUAAUAAUUGACCUUUUUACCGAAGGAGAAAGACAGGAGAAGGAAUAUGAUUAAACAACCGCGCCCAGUUCAAUUGCUUUUCCGGCGAAAUUUCAUCAGAAAAUAGCUGGAAUUUGCCUAAUGUAGACCAAAACAUCCCUCCAUAUGCUAUCGUGAUAUUUUAAGCCGAGAGUGAAACACAUGCCCUUUUAGUCGGACUUCAAGAAUGUUAUCUACGGAAAUUUGCAUAAAAAGGUGCCAUGAUCAGCAUGAUCAAAGUUUCUGACUUUAUUAGAUUUGACGUUUGCAUUUUAAUAAGCCAAUCACUUAUGGGUUUACGAAGUGACACACAUUAUGGAGGAGGGAUCGUAAAAUAUCUAUCGAUAAACUAGAGUCUAGAUGUACAUCCGACACAUACAAAGUUUUGUAUAAAAGAUCAUAUAAAACCCACCUGCAAAAUCUUGCCCACAAAUGAAGAUUCUGCAGCUCUUGGGCACGGUCAUGGGCAUAUCCUUAAGCAAAUCAACUUCAACUUCAGGUUCGGAUAUCGCGUUUUGACCCAAUUUUAGAUGUAUUUCUUCUGAUUUUCCUGAAUUCUGCAGUGGGGUUCUUGCAAGAUCAAUCUCCUCAAUCCAAGGAUUGACAUGUAAAGUCUCCAUUAUUGCCUUUAACACUAAAUCACCAUCAACCCCUUUGCAGCCUUGCAAUGACAAUCGUUUCAAACUAGCAUUUUUCUGCAAAGUCACAAAGAUUCUGAUUAUAUCUUGUGGACUUAAACUUUGGUCAUCAUAGAUGCCCAAUCUUGUUACAGUUUGAUUAGUGCUUAGCAUUUGCAAAAUUGCAAUCAACCCGUUCCUACGUAUCUUGGUUUUUUUCCCUCCAAAAGUUAUCGACUUUAAUGUUAUAUUAGCUUGAAUUUGAACAGUGGAAAAUCGUGUUAAUGGGCAAAGUAAGUGUUCUACACCAACCCCAUUAAACCGGUUACCAUCUAAAUGCAAGGUUUCCAAGCUCCGGUUCUUGAAAAGUCCGGCUGCAACAUAAACAACACCCUUGUUUUUUAAGCUUGUUUUUGAGAGGUUAACUUCUUUUAGACUCCGAUUCUGUUCAAGAACCCACCUGAACUCCUUUGCCCACCUGGAUCUUAACCUGAUCCCAGUCAGGUCAAGUGUUUUGACAGUUGUGUUCCACCCUAGAGCACAAACCACCCUGCAUGCCCCUGAAAUGUUUAGCCGGUAUAUUCGUAGUGUGUUACUCUCGGGUGCAAAUUCAACGACUUUUGAGCUGGUGUUGUUAUUAUAUUUUCCACUCCAUAUAUGAACUUCCAUGGAUCUGUUUCUAGCUAGCACUGCAGAUAUCAAUGGUGUGGCUGUGAUUGAACUUGAGUCAAAUAUAGUCAACAACUUCAACGUCGAAUUUGAUUCGAUCAUUUUUGAGAGCUCUUCUGCCCCUCUUGAUCCUAUUGAAUCCUCCCAUAUUUGUAACUCCUCUAAACAAGUAUUCACCUUUAACGCUGAAGCAAUUAAACUAGCUCCAUAUGAACCAAUUCUUGAUUCAGAAAUCAUCAUCUCUUUAAUCACAUCAUUUCUUUUCAAUAUUUUCGCCAGUACUUCCAUGCAUUCGGCAUUUAGCUUGUUUUUCUUGAACACAAGCUGUUUUACAUUCGAAGAACCAUCAAGCAGAACCUCGAGGCUCUUUACUUCUUCCAACUCCCAUUCAACUUGGUAAAACUCAAGAUUUUGUAACGAAAGACGGGUAUUUGAAGAUGAUGCUAGGAGUGAAAGGAUUUCUGAAAAAUGAAAAUGUGCGUCACUAGAAAUGUUUAUAUGAAUGGAUUCAUAACUUUCUUGAUAACAACAUGAAGUUGGUUGUAAAAGAUGGAAAGAAAUAUUUUGAAGGUUAAAACUUUCAUUUUGAAUUGAUUGGAAAAGCCAUUGAAGAUCU
This is a long non-coding RNA of Erigeron canadensis, 2016 nucleotides long. RefSeq lists it as uncharacterized. The transcript is spliced from 5 exons. The record is from RefSeq and is a predicted model, not a curated record. NCBI's taxonomy places the organism in Eukaryota, Viridiplantae, Streptophyta, Magnoliopsida, Asterales, Asteraceae.